UGGCAGGAGUGGAGCUGGGAGCAGCUGGCCAGGAGGACCUCUGUGGCCACCCCUGGACACCAAAGAGCACAGCCAGCAGGCCACUCUUCUGCCUCUUCACGUCACUCAGGCCAGAUGUAAAGGCAGUGUCUUCCAGAAGAUGCACCACCCCCUGCCCUGGCUCUAGACAUCCAGAGACCACGUUGGAGCCGUGCCGCAGACUCUCAGACCAGAGUUUCCACUCCAGAACUCUCGCCUGACCUCUGGUCCUGUACCUCCAGCAGCUUGUGGAAUCUCAGACUCAAAUACCAACUCAUCACAGGGUGCAGAAUGUCAAAGAAACUCAGGGCCCACCCCAACCACCUGAGGAUGACACUCACAAUCAAAACCACAUACAUGGCUUCUACCACACACGCGCGCAGCCCUUGAGCUGAGGGUGUUACACACAGUACUGCAUUCCAUCUUCACAGACACUGUGAGGUCGCAUGCCCUGGAGGUUAAGAGCAAGGAGUCCGAGCUACAAGGGCAGAGUUGAGUCGUUGCAACACAGAUGUAAAUGUAUGGCUCACGAAGUCCUCUGAGGGUUGGCUGCCAUUAUGAUGAUUACACAGACGAACAACAGCGGGUCCCAGGCCAUCCAGCCGAAAGAAAAUUUCCAAGUCAUCUGCCUUUGAAAUUAAAUAGAAAGUAUGAAAUGAACUCAGUACCUUGCUGUGUGACCUCAG
RNAcentral lists this long non-coding RNA (704 nucleotides) under Equus asinus (donkey). RNAcentral describes it as "lncRNA (ENSEASG00005034586.1)". The record is from RNAcentral. Lineage: Eukaryota; Metazoa; Chordata; Mammalia; Perissodactyla; Equidae.